UCUCUUCAAAAGACAAGACAACUGGUAUCUUCCACCAAGAUGUCUGUUGAAAUGGAAAUGACCUUACCCACUACACCAAGGGUAAUCAUGCUUGGAAAUAGCUUGAUGUCUGCAACCCGGUGGAUGGUCAGUAUGGAGGAGAAGGUAUUUUUCCAGCCUGAGCAACUACAUGACUUUGCCAGCGUCCUUGCUGUCUUUUUUGGGUCAUAUUCUGUCUUCAAUCUGGAGUAUCAGGAGUCAGCAUCCACCGCGCUGGAGAUGAUA
Molecule: long non-coding RNA, 264 nt
Organism: Xiphophorus maculatus (southern platyfish)
Lineage: Eukaryota; Metazoa; Chordata; Actinopteri; Cyprinodontiformes; Poeciliidae
Exons: 3
Source: RefSeq, a predicted model, not a curated record